This 567-nucleotide ribosomal RNA is filed under the name Lathyrus sativus (Indian pea). RNAcentral describes it as "eukaryotic LSU rRNA". The stretch from base 115 to 270 matches the Rfam family "5.8S ribosomal RNA". The record is from RNAcentral. Lineage: Eukaryota; Viridiplantae; Streptophyta; Magnoliopsida; Fabales; Fabaceae.
AACUCAAACCCCGGCGCUGAAUGCGUCAAGGAAUUUUAACUUUGCUCUGAGCGCAUCCGCAUGGCACCGGAGACGGUUUCCGUGCGGGCUGUGUUUUGACACAUUAUAUAGAAUGACUCUCGGCAACGGAUAUCUAGGCUCUUGCAUCGAUGAAGAACGUAGCGAAAUGCGAUACUUGGUGUGAAUUGCAGAAUCCCGUGAACCAUCGAGUCUUUGAACGCAAGUUGCGCCCGAUGCCAUUAGGUUGAGGGCACGUCUGACUGGGUGUCACAUAUCGAAGCCUCCUGCCAGUUUCCUUUUGACGGGUAUUGUGCAGGGUGGAUGUUGGCCUCCCGUGAGCUCUUUCGUCUCAUGGUUGGUUGAAAUUUGAGACCUUGGUAGGGUGUGCCAUGAUAAAUGGUGGUUGUGUGACCCACGAGACCAAUCAUGCGCUGCUCUAUUGAACUUGGCCUCUUUUACCCAUAUGCGUGUUUCUAAACGCUCGUGAUGAGACCUCAGGUCAGGCGGGGCUACCCGCUGAAUUUAAGCAUAUCAAUAAGCGGAGGAAAAGAAACUAACAAGGAUUCC